CCUUCUCCACCCUCUUUCUGUUGGGAAUCGGCACUCGCCCCGGUACCGAAUUUUGUGAAUCCGCAACUCACUCCGAUACUAUUUUUGUGGAUCCGGUACCUAUUGUUCAGAUUCCGCAAUGGAUGCGUCGAAUUAGGUUUUUACCAUAAACCCGUCUCCUCAGCGAAAGCUAAUACAAUUAUAAAAGAGAGAAAAAAAUUAAAAAAGAAAAUAUACGGGUAAAAUAAGAUUCAUUAAAUAAUAGAAGAUUACACCCGAUUCUUCUUCUGCAUAGAAUAGCUACAACCCGAACCCUUUUUUUCAAUCUCUUCUAUCUUUCUCUCGUCUUCUAUAAAUCCACAAAGAAGACAAUUCUCUCUUUUUCUCUCACAUGCACCCAUGCACUAGG
This 388-nucleotide long non-coding RNA is filed under the name Ananas comosus (pineapple). RNAcentral's name for it is "long non-coding RNA (ACOM_LNC000127)". The record is from RNAcentral. Lineage: Eukaryota; Viridiplantae; Streptophyta; Magnoliopsida; Poales; Bromeliaceae.